This 497-nucleotide ribosomal RNA is filed under the name uncultured bacterium. RNAcentral's name for it is "partial 16S ribosomal RNA". It matches the Rfam family "Bacterial small subunit ribosomal RNA", at positions 28 to 507 of the family's 1533-position model. The record is from RNAcentral.
GAUGAACGCUGGCGGCGUGCCUAAUACAUGCAAGUCGAGCGAACAGACGAGGAGCUUGCUCCUCUGACGUUAGCGGCGGACGGGUGAGUAACACGUGGAUAACCUACCUAUAAGACUGGGAUAACUUCGGGAAACCGGAGCUAAUACCGGAUAAUAUAUUGAACCGCAUGGUUCAAUAGUGAAAGACGGUUUUGCUGUCACUUAUAGAUGGAUCCGCGCCGCAUUAGCUAGUUGGUAGGGUAACGGCUUACCAAGGCAACGAUGCGUAGCCGACCUGAGAGGGUGAUCGGCCACACUGGAACUGAGACACGGUCCAGACUCCUACGGGAGGCAGCAGUAGGGAAUCUUCCGCAAUGGGCGAAAGCCUGACGGAGCAACGCCGCGUGAAUGAUGAAGGUCUUCGGAUCGUAAAACUCUGUUAUUAGGGAAGAACAAAUGUGUAAGUAACUAUGCACGUCUUGACGGUACCUAAUCAGAAAGCCACGGCUAACUACGUG